RNAcentral lists this ribosomal RNA (466 nucleotides) under uncultured bacterium. RNAcentral describes it as "partial 16S ribosomal RNA". It matches the Rfam family "Bacterial small subunit ribosomal RNA", at positions 28 to 505 of the family's 1533-position model. The record is from RNAcentral.
GACGAACGCUGGCGGCGUGCUUAACACAUGCAAGUCGAACGGAAAGGCCCUGCUUUUGUGGGGUGCUCGAGUGGCGAACGGGUGAGUAACACGUGAGUAACCUGCCCUUGACUUUGGGAUAACUUCAGGAAACUGGGGCUAAUACCGGAUAGGAGCUCCUGCUGCAUGGUGGGGGUUGGAAAGUUUCGGCGGUUGGGGAUGGACUCGCGGCUUAUCAGCUUGUUGGUGGGGUAGUGGCUUACCAAGGCUUUGACGGGUAGCCGGCUUGAGAGGGUGACCGGCCACAUUGGGACGGAGAUACGGCCCAGACUCCUACGGGAGGCAGCAGUGGGGAAUAUUGCACAAUGGGCGGAAGCCUGAUGCAGCAACGCCGCGUGCGGGAUGACGGCCUUCGGGUUGUAAACCGCUUUCGCCUGUGACGAAGCGUGAGUGACGGUAAUGGGUAAAGAAGCACCGGCUAACUACG